Long non-coding RNA from Myotis myotis, 1023 nucleotides. RefSeq lists it as uncharacterized. NCBI's taxonomy places the organism in Eukaryota, Metazoa, Chordata, Mammalia, Chiroptera, Vespertilionidae. The transcript has 4 exons. The record is from RefSeq and is a predicted model, not a curated record.
CCGCCUCCCGCCCAGCCCGGCUGUCAGGCUCCCGAGCCGCGUCCAAAUUUAGGCCGGAGAGGCCGGGCGUGGCUGCGCGCGCGCCCCAGAACAAAGGCGCGCGCUUCGGGGGAGAACCCGGCCCACGCGGGGUGGGAGGGGGGCGCCCCAAAGCGGGUCCCCCCGAACCCCACGGAGUUCGGAAACCGAAUUGCACCGCUCCCAGGCCUGGCGACUGACUAUUCGGAGCUGGGGAUUUUGAGAAAAAAAAGGAAAAUGCUCAGCUUCAAAUUUCUGCUCGAGUGUCCGCAGUGGGCGCCCAGCCAACAUCUCAGGCCGUGAAAUCGGCCUGAGUCACCCUCUGGCAUCGCACCCGCCGGUCCGAGCCCAGGAUCUGCGAGUGAUUUGCACUUGGCUGCUCCUCCCGGGGCUGACGGUCUACCCACUGAACCACACCGGCCAGGGCUGUUCACUCGUUCUUGGGAACCACUGCCAUAGAAGGAAGUGGCAUUCAUGUCUCCAAAAGGGGGUGGAAGAACGUUCUGGGCGCAGGAAUUAGCACGUGCAAAGAGAGCGAGAGAAAGAUCUACGAGGAGAGAGAAUCAUGGACCGGCCGCCUCUUGCACGCCCCCCACUGGGGAUGGAGCCCGCAACCCGGGCCUGUGCCCUUGACCGGGAAUCGAACCCUGACCUCCCGGUUCCUAGGCCGACGCCAACCACUGAGCCACCCUGGCCGGACCGUGAAAUCUCCUUUUGUCCGCCGUUCCUGGCCAACCGCCCGAUGCCAUCGUAUUCUUCGCCGGGAUGAAGAAUGAGCCGCUCCGAACGCAAAGGGCCCGGUGGUUGACACCGAACAUGAAUCUCACCACUUAGGGAAUAAUUCAGUUGCAUAAUUUAAACAGCAAAACGCAAUCCAUCGUCCGCCCUCCGCUGGCCAAGGGCCGGCGAAGCCACUGUCCCCUCCUGGGACCCCAAUCGGUAACCCGUUGGCGUUUGUCAUGGAGCAGAAAUAAACACCAUAUUUUUCUGGGGCUAAUGAGACAU